Non-coding RNA from Microcebus murinus (gray mouse lemur), 694 nucleotides. Lineage: Eukaryota; Metazoa; Chordata; Mammalia; Primates; Cheirogaleidae. The record is from RefSeq and is a predicted model, not a curated record.
UUUACAAAGAACUCAAGCAAAUCAGCAAGAAAAAUAGAAACAACCCUAUUAAAAAGUGGGAAAAAGCUUUCGGUUUUCGGCUCAGAGGAGACCAAGGUGCAACUUUCUUCGGUCGUCCCAAAUCCGGGUUCAUCCGACACCAGCCACCUCCACCAUGCCGCCUAAGUUCGACUCCAAUGAGAUCAAAGUCGUAUACCUGAGGUGUACUGGCGGCGAAGUCGGUGCCACGUCUGCCCUGGCCCCCAAGAUCGGCACCCUGGGUCUGUCUCCAAAAAAGGUUGGUGAUGACAUCACCAAGGCAACUGAUGACUGGAAGGGUCUGAGGAUUACAGUGAAACUAACUAUUCAGAACAGACAGGCCCAGAUUAAAGUGGUACCUUCUAACUCUGCCCUGAUCAUCAAAGCCCUCAAGGAACCACCAAGAGACAGAAAGAAGCAGAAAAACAUUGAACACAACGGAAAUAUCACUUUUGAUGAGAUUUUCAAUAUUGCCAGACAGAUGCAGCACCGAUCGUUAACCAGAGAACUUUCUGGAACCAUUAAAGAGAUUCUGGGCACUGCCCAGUCUGUGGGCUGCAAUUUUGAUGGCUGCCACCCACAUGACAUCAUAGAUGACAUCAACAGUGGUGCAGUGGAAUGCCCAGCUAGUUAAAAAGUACAAAGGAAAAUAUUUCAAUAAAGGAUCAUUUAACAC